RNAcentral lists this ribosomal RNA (464 nucleotides) under uncultured bacterium. Its description in RNAcentral is "bacterial SSU rRNA". It matches the Rfam family "Bacterial small subunit ribosomal RNA", at positions 199 to 644 of the family's 1533-position model. The record is from RNAcentral.
GGAGGAAGUAGGGGAUCGAAAGACCUUAUGCUUUUGGAGUGGCCGAUGUCUGAUUAGCUAGUUGGUGAGGUAGAGGCUUACCAAGGCAACGAUCAGUAGUUGGUCUGAGAGGAUGACCAACCACACUGGGACUGAGACACGGCCCAGACUCCUACGGGAGGCAGCAGUGGGGAAUUUUGGACAAUGGGGGAAACCCUGAUCCAGCAAUGCCGCGUGAGUGAAGAAGGCCUUCGGGUUGUAAAGCUCUUUCAGUUGAGAAGAAAAGAUUCUGACUAAUAAUCAUAAUUAAUGACGGUAUCAACAGAAGAAGCACCGGCUAACUACGUGCCAGCAGCCGCGGUAAUACGUAGGGUGCGAGCGUUAAUCGGAAUUACUGGGCGUAAAGGGUGCGCAGGCGGUUAUGUAAGUCAGAUGUGAAAUCCCCGGGCUUAACCUGGGAAUUGCGUUUGAAACUACAAAGCUAG